GAUGAACGCUGGCGGCGUGCCUAAUACAUGCAAGUCGAGCGAACAGACGAGGAGCUUGCUCCUCUGACGUUAGCGGCGGACGGGUGAGUAACACGUGGAUAACCUACCUAUAAGACUGGGAUAACUUCGGGAAACCGGAGCUAAUACCGGAUAAUAUAUUGAACCGCAUGGUUCAAUAGUGAAAGACGGUUUUGCUGUCACUUAUAGAUGGAUCCGCGCCGCAUUAGCUAGUUGGUAAGGUAACGGCUUACCAAGGCAACGAUGCGUAGCCGACCUGAGAGGGUGAACGGCCACACUGGAACUGAGACACGGUCCAGACUCCGACGGGAGGCAGCAGUAGGGAAUCUUCCGCAAUGGGCGAAAGCCUGACGGAGCAACGCCGCGUGAGUGAUGAAGGUCUUCGGAUCGUAAAACUCUGUUAUUAGGGAAGAACAAAUGUGUAAGUAACUAUGCACGUCUUGACGGUACCUAAUCAGAAAGCCACGGCUAACUACGUG
RNAcentral lists this ribosomal RNA (497 nucleotides) under uncultured bacterium. Its description in RNAcentral is "partial 16S ribosomal RNA". It matches the Rfam family "Bacterial small subunit ribosomal RNA", at positions 28 to 507 of the family's 1533-position model. The record is from RNAcentral.